RNAcentral lists this transfer RNA (85 nucleotides) under Felis catus (domestic cat). It matches the Rfam family "tRNA". Rfam says of the family: Transfer RNA (tRNA) molecules are approximately 80 nucleotides in length. The record is from Rfam by way of RNAcentral. Lineage: Eukaryota; Metazoa; Chordata; Mammalia; Carnivora; Felidae. RNAcentral also lists the same sequence under 4 other names.
ACCUGGGUGGCUCAGUCAGUUAAGCGUCUGACUUUGGCUCAGGUCAUGAUCUCACAGUCUGUGAGUUCAAGCCUCACAUCAGGCU